GAUGAACGCUGGCGGCGUGCCUAAUACAUGCAAGUAGAACGCUGAAGCAGGAGCUUGCUCUUCUGGAUGAGUUGCGAACGGGUGAGUAACGCGUAGGUAACCUGCCUGUUAGCGGGGGAUAACUAUUGGAAACGAUAGCUAAUACCGCAUGACAACAGUUAUUGCAUGAUAACUGUCUAAAAGGGGCAACUGCUCCACUACCAGAUGCACCUGCGUUGUAUUAGCAAGUUGGUGAGGUAACGGCUCACCAAGGCGACGAUACAUAGCCGACCUGAGAGGGGGAUCGGCCACACUGAGACGGAGACAGGGCACAGACUGCUUCGGGAAGCAGCCGUAGGGCAUCGUCGGCAAUGGACGGAAGUCUGAGCGAGCAACGCCGCGUGAGUGGGGAAGGUCUUCGGGUCGUAAAGCUCUGUUGUAAGAGAAGAACGAGUGUGAGGCUGGAAAGUUCACACUGUGACGGUAUCUUAACAAAAAGGGACGGCUAACUACGUG
This 495-nucleotide ribosomal RNA is filed under the name uncultured bacterium. RNAcentral describes it as "partial 16S ribosomal RNA". It matches the Rfam family "Bacterial small subunit ribosomal RNA", at positions 28 to 507 of the family's 1533-position model. The record is from RNAcentral.